This 500-nucleotide ribosomal RNA is filed under the name uncultured Glomeromycotina. RNAcentral's name for it is "partial small subunit ribosomal RNA". It matches the Rfam family "Eukaryotic small subunit ribosomal RNA", at positions 591 to 1092 of the family's 1831-position model. The record is from RNAcentral. Lineage: Eukaryota; Fungi; Glomeromycota.
CCAAUAGCGUAUAUUAAAGUUGUUGCAGUUAAAAAGCUCGUAGUUGAAUUUCGGGGUCAGUAGGUUGGUCAUGCCACUGGUAUGUACUGGUCUCACUGAUUCCUCCUUCCUGAUGAGCCGUAAUGCCAUUAAUUUGGUGUUGCGAGGAAUCUGGACUGUUACUUUGAAAAAAUUAGAGUGUUUAAAGCAGGCUAACGCUUGAAUACAUUAGCAUGGAAUAAUGAAAUAGGACGUUCGAUCCUAUUUUGUUGGUUUCUAAGAUUGACGUAAUGAUUAAUAGGGAUAGUUGGGGGCAUUAGUAUUCAAUUGUCAGAGGUGAAAUUCUUGGAUUUAUCGAAGACUAACUACUGCGAAAGCAUUUGCCAAGGAUGUUUUCAUUAAUCAAGAACGAAAGUUAGGGGAUCGAAGACGAUCAGAUACCGUCGUAGUCUUAACCAUAAACUAUGCCGACUAGGGAUCGGAUGAUGUUAAUUUUUUAAUGACUCAUUCGGCGCCUUACG